Durio zibethinus is the source of this 2699-nucleotide non-coding RNA. The record is from RefSeq and is a predicted model, not a curated record. Lineage: Eukaryota; Viridiplantae; Streptophyta; Magnoliopsida; Malvales; Malvaceae.
UAUUACUAAAUUAUUCUUACAAACAAGCUUUUAUAUUUGGCAACUGUAAUAGACAACUCAAAUAAAUCUCUAAAUCAACAUAUGUAGAGGGAAUGUUCAGCUCAUUUUUUGGAUUCAAAGUCUCUAGAGAAAUAUUUCGGACCAUGGACGAUGGAGGGAAGGGGAAAGAAGUGGGCAUUUAAAUAACUUAAAAAGCAAAAUGCAUUUGAGGAUAAAACCUUGGAAAAAAAAACAAAGGUUCUUGUCUCAAGUAGCAAAGGACGUGUUGUCAAUGUUGUUCUUCAAGUUACACCAGCCUAGGCCUUUCUUUUUCUCAAAAUUCCCAUGUCAUGAAAUAAAGAUUUUGAUUAGUACUAAAUACCAUACGAGGCCUAGUACCUUUAACAGAUCAUUUUGGGAGAGCAUGUGUCGGGGAUAUAUUUCACCAAAGGAAUGAGCCGCAAGAAUCAAGAGGAAAAGACAAAAAUGGCUGUGAUACCGUAUGCUUCGACAAUCAAAUCAAUUAUGUAUGUUAUAUUGUGCACUAAAUCUAAUGCACUAUUUUACGCUCUGAAUAUCAGGGGCAGAUAAGAUCAUUGUGCCACUGUAAAGAAUAUCUUUAACUAUUUGCAAAGAAGAAAAAGUGAAAAACACCCGACUCAAAUCCCGGAAAAGGAAAACGCAUAAAAAUGAAAAUGGAAUAAAAGAAAGAGUUUAAGAAAAACAUCAGAAAAACAGUAGCCAUUAACAAAAGCUGAAUAGAAGAAAACAAGAUCCACCUCGAACCUCCCUCGACUCCGAAAUUCGAUGAUCUUUUGCUUGUUGGUGCAGUGAGCAGAGUUAGGAGCUUUUUGUUGCUACAAAUUUAGGUUUCGAUUUGUGAAUGAUAUGAGGGAAGAAGACUCAACUUGGUUCUCAAGAUGGGAGGAUGAGCUGCCAUCCCCAGAAGAGCUGAUGCCUCUAUCCCAAACCCUAAUCACUCCUGAUCUUGCUCUCGCCUUCGACAUUCGAAACCCAAACCUCCACCACCAACAGCAACAGCCCCCGGCAACGCCUCCUCCUCCUUUCUCCGCAGCUCUGCAGCCUCCUUCUCAGCCCACCCCAGCCGAAUUUGCGGCCGAUUCCGGGGACUUGUUGUCCGGGGCUGCUGGAGAUGAGCCCGCGCGCACUCUCAAGCGGCCUCGCCUCGUGUGGACCCCACAGCUUCACAAGAGAUUCGUUGACGCCGUGGCCCAUUUGGGGAUCAAGAACGCUGUCCCCAAGACCAUAAUGCAGUUGAUGAGUGUUGAUGGUUUGACAAGAGAAAACGUUGCUAGUCAUUUGCAGAAGUAUCGCCUUUAUUUGAAGAGAAUGCAAUGCUUAUCUGGUGGCGGUGUCAACGGCGGAGCUGGGGGAGCCGGAUUGGGUGCCACAGCUGAUCCAGCGACUGACCAUUUGUUUGCAAGCUCGCCGAUUCCACCACACUUUCUUCAUCCUGGUAGAGGUAAUUCAGAGCAUUUCUUGCCGUUCGUGCCAGUGCCGGCACUGCAGCAUCACCAUCAUCACCAGCAACAGCAGAUAGUGGGAGCAGCAGUAGGACAUCCGCAUUUGCAGUCUCAGUAUCAUAGGCAAAUGGGGCAUUUUGGGUCAUCUCCAAAUGGGCAAUUUGAGCAUCCCAUCUUAGGCAGGCAGACGCAGCAACCAAUGCAUAGGUUGGGAGGGGCCCCCGUGCCUAAUCGAGUUCCCAGUAGUAAUGUGGAAGAUUUUGAAUCUGCCAAUGAGAAUGGUGGAAGGAAGGUUCUUACUUUAUUUCCUACUGGGGAUGAUUGAUUCAAAACUUUGGUAAUUAUGGACACCAAUUUUCAUCAUUCAACUUUUCUUCUUUAUUUUGAUUAGUCCUUUUCUUCGAGUUUCUUCAUGUAGAGUCUUGGUGGGUGGUCAUUCCUCUUUUUGGCUUUUUUUUUAAGUGAUUCUGAGGCGUGCUGAUAAUUGGCAAUGACCUUCAAUUUAAAUCUGAAUUUUCAUCUCGAGCUGGCAGGGAGUACUUAAAUCUGUUUUUUUUUUUUUUUUUUACUACACUCCACGAGUCAUUAGAGUCGGUUGCUGUGUCAGUUAUUUUAUAAUUUUCUGUUCUGCAGACUUCUACGCCUGUAAUUAAGUUGUCAGUGGCAGUCUGUGUUCUCAGUCAGCUUCUGGUGACGGAUAUUGACUGUGAUGUCACUCUAAGUGACAAUAAGUUCUUAGUUAUCAUGCUUGCAAUUACUUCGGUCUGGUGGUAUUGAGUUAAUCUGGAUUGCUUAGUGGCAAUGGUCAUGGGGAGUCAGAUCCGUUUACUUAAACUUUGGAGUCUGCUUGCCUGGGAGGUCUUUCAACCAUCAAGGUGGUUUUGAGGCAAUAUGACUAAGUUUUGAGCUUGGAGGUUAUAUCUGAGAUUGAAUCUUUGUUUCAUAUUGUAGCUGUGGUGCGAAAUUGCUCUGCUUAUGUUCCAAACGGGUGAGAACAGGAAAAAGGAUCUCAAGUAACUCAACAAUAGCUUUAGCAUUCAACAAAUUAAAUUAAUGAUCCUUUCGAACUUUUAACUGCUGAAAAAUCUACUAAAUUGACUCCAGGAUUAUACAUCAAGUGGCAUCUUGGGGUAUUAGGGUUGUAAAAUCUACAAUUUUCAGAAUUCCAUUGAAGAGAAAUGAUAUUUGAAUUUUAUAGUUUUAAUGUUUUAACAUCUUGGUGGGUUUGACAUUGUC